RNAcentral lists this long non-coding RNA (966 nucleotides) under Setaria viridis. Its description in RNAcentral is "long non-coding RNA (SVIR_LNC002941)". The record is from RNAcentral. Lineage: Eukaryota; Viridiplantae; Streptophyta; Magnoliopsida; Poales; Poaceae.
UUGCUAAUGAUGGAUUAAUUAGGCUUAAUAAAUUCGUCUCGCGAAUUAGGCUCAUGGUUCUGCAAUUAAUUUUAUAAUUAGCUCAUGUUUACUCUCCUAAUUAACAUCCGAAUAUUCGAUCCUGCUAUCAAACAGCCCUAUGUUGUUUAUUUUGCUGUGUGUAUAUGAUAUAACAACAGCUGUCGAAUCGGGUAGGCGGCGGUGGAUGUAGGAGGCGGUAGAAUCAGGUGGGCAGCGCUGAAAUCGAUCUUGAGCAGUGGUGAUUGGCAGCAAGUGGCUCUUCUCCCCAUCUACCUCCCUUCCUUUCCUUCUCCACCGGUAUGUUCAUGUGCGCAUCCGCCGGAAACAACCCCAACCACCGAGUAUGGAGAAGGGGCUGGAGGGUGAUCAGUAAGGUCCUCCGUACUCUAAGAAUCCAGGUGAGGGUCUUGCUGUUAGGUUUUUCUUUUUAUAAAAAAGGACUAAUCAUAAAUGUUUAAAAGAAAUCUUCCCUACAGUUAAUAAAUUGUUCCUAGAAUCCUAGUGCAGACUACUCCUACUACUCAAUUUCGUUCCACGGGUCCAAAAACUGUACGAACCUAUGAACGGAAUUUGAAAGAGGGGCAACAAACUAGGAUGAAUUUCUAACCGUGAAACUUGAAAACCGAACCAAAAUUUCGUGCUUUGCCCGCUCCACCGCUGUUUGGUACAGAUCCGCCGCCCGGAUAAGAACCGGACCUGCCGUCCCUGCCCUUCGCAACGUAGGCGUGGCAGGACUGCAGGAGCGCCGCACCUACGCCAUGGCCCAUGGAUCGAUCGAGUACCUCCUCUCCACAAGUCCUACCGCCUAGCUCCCUAGCCAUAGCCGGGUAGCGGGGGCAGCUAGCCCUAGCCCCUGCCCAGCCGCGGAGAAAAGAAGGACCUGCCCUGCCGCGCCAUUAACCGCAGCAGCAGCAGCAGCCGGCAUCGAUCGAUCGAGCGAAAGGC